Long non-coding RNA from Lytechinus pictus (painted urchin), 202 nucleotides. RefSeq lists it as uncharacterized. The transcript is spliced from 2 exons. Lineage: Eukaryota; Metazoa; Echinodermata; Echinoidea; Temnopleuroida; Toxopneustidae. The record is from RefSeq and is a predicted model, not a curated record.
GAUCCUUGGCGUGAGCCGAUACCCUUUUACCUCCUGGCUCCCGCUUAACAUCACUGAUGCUGUUCCUCUUCUUGGACUCCAUCUCCCACAGUCUUCAAGGUUUCUCAUCCUAGCUCAUCCUAGUCAUCAGGAUGAAUACAGAGUAAGCCUGUACCCCAUCAAUCACAUGUUUGCACCCCCGAGGGGUGGUAUGAAGCCCAUC